UCCCAGACUCCUACGGGAGGCAGCAGUGGGGAAUAUUGCACAAUGGGCGAAAGCCUGAUGCAGCAACGCCGCGUGAAGGAAGAAGGCCUUCGGGUCGUAAACUUCUGUCCUUGGGGAAGAAGAACUGACGGUACCCAAGGAGGAAGCCCCGGCUAACUACGUGCCAGCAGCCGCGGUAAUACGGAGGAUGCGAGCGUUAUCCGGAUUUAUUGGGUUUAAAGGGUGCGUAGGCGGAAUGCCAAGUCAGCGGUAAAAUCGCGGGGCUCAACCUCGCUCCGCCGUUGAAACUGGCGUUCUUGAGUGGGCGAGAAGUAUGCGGAAUGCGUGGUGUAGCGGUGAAAUGCAUAGAUAUCACGCAGAACUCCGAUUGCGAAGGCAGCAUACCGGCGCCCAACUGACGCUGAAGCACGAAAGCGUGGGUAUCGAACAGGAUUAGAUACCCUCGUAC
Molecule: ribosomal RNA, 448 nt
Filed under: uncultured bacterium
Lineage: Bacteria
Description: bacterial SSU rRNA
Rfam family: Bacterial small subunit ribosomal RNA
Source: RNAcentral